This 2147-nucleotide long non-coding RNA is filed under the name Drosophila guanche. Lineage: Eukaryota; Metazoa; Arthropoda; Insecta; Diptera; Drosophilidae. The record is from RNAcentral.
CACCGUUCCCGGUGCAUUCGGUCAACGGGACGAAUCAAAUUACCAAAAAGUGUCUUCUGUCGAUAUUCGGCACAAAAACCCCUUUUUUCGUACUAAAAUCCUCGACUUGCUAACGCAGAUAGGAGCAACAUUGUGCUUGAAAGAUGGAACACUCAGUUUCGGUAAGACGACUGAGGCCAUAAAAUUCCACAGGUGCACUGACUUCAACCAUACUAGCGUAGAUGACGUAGACGCACCACCGCCCAUAAAAGAGAAAUUUAUGCAGAUGUUGAAUAGAAGGAGUGCGGCUUUUGCCAACCCUAACGGGACACUACCUUACAACACUUCGGUAGUUGCCACCAUUCGCACGGUGGAAAAUGAACCCAUAUACUCCUAGCUAUACCCUUACCCUAACGGGGUAGCCAAUUUUGUUGAAUCCGAGGUCAGGAACCUCCUGAAGGACAACAUAAUUCCCAAGUCCAGAUCACCAUAUAACAAUCCCAUAUGGGUGGUGGACAAAAAAAGGCACUGAUGAACAGGGCAACAGGAAGAAACGUCUAGUAAUGGACUUUCGGAAACUCAACGAGAAGACAGUGGCCGACAAAUACCCCAUGCCGAGCAUCUCAAUGAUCUUAGCCAACCUGGGGUCGCCAAGAUAUUUCACCACACUCGACCUAAAAUCCGGUUACCACCAAAUAACUUUGGCGGAGUGCGACCGAGAAAAAACCUAAUUUUCCGUGCAUGGGGGAAAGUACUGCCCUUCGGUCUUCGGAAUGCGGGAAGCAUUUUCCAGAGGGCAAUCGAUGAUGUUUUGCGCGAACAAAUCGGCAAAACAUGCUACGUCUACGUCGAUGACGUAAUUGUCUUUUCUUAAACCCAAGACGACCAUGUGAGACAUGUUGAUUGGGUACUUAAAAGCCUAUACGAGGCAAACAUGAGAAUAGCUCAAUUUUUAAAGAAAGCGUCGGUUUAUUGUGACAAGUAAUGGCACAAAGACAGACCCAGAGAAGGGUAAGGCUAUCCAGCAUUACGCGGAGCCAAAUACAGUUUUUGCACUUAGGUCAUUAAUGGGCCUUGCAAGCUACUACCGCUGCUUCAUAAAAGACUUUGCUGCUAUUGCAAAGCCUCUCUCAGAUAUUCUGAAAGGUUAAAACGGGUCGGUAAGCAAAUACAGAUCAAAGAAAAUCUUGAUUGACCUUAACGAGGCUCAGAGCCAUGCGUUCCAAAAGCUCAAGAACAUCCUUGCAUCAGAAGAUGUCAUGCUGAUGUAUCCUGACUUUUAAAAACCCUUUGACUUAACUACGGACGCUCCAGCCUAUGGCAUAGGUGCAGUCCUUUCCCAAAAUGCGAAACCAAUCACGAUGAUAUUCCGAGCUCUAAAAGACAGGGAGGCAAACUACGCGACUAACGAGCGUGAGUUGCUGGCCAUCGUCUGGGCCCUAGCCAAACUUUGGCACUACAUCUAUGGGGUAAUGGACAUAAACAUCUUUACAGACCACCAGCCGCUUACAUUUGCGGCUCGCAUUGACGAGCUUGGGGCCAAGCUUUUCUAUAAGCCAGGCAAAGAAAAUCACGUUGCUGACGCACUGACUCGACAAAAUGUCAACGCGUUGGAAAGCGCCCCACAGUCGGACGCAGCGACGGUUCAUAGCGAGGUAUCGCUUUCCUAUACUAUACAAACUAUGGAUAAGCCCGUCAAUUGUUUUAGAAACCAGAUAGUUCUAGAGGAAGCCCAAUUCUCUCUAAAGCAAGUCUUCAUUCUCUUCGGGGAAAAGACUCGGCCUAUCGCAUUGCAAGAAUCUUGUCGUAGACUUAUUUGAUGAUAAUGAGAGGAAAGAAAUCAUCACGGUAGAACACAAUCGAGCUCAUAGAGCCGCUCAGGAAAAUGUAAAACAGGUUUUGACCGAUUACUAUUUUCCCAAAAUGACUAAAAUGGCAAGCGAGGUAGUCAUGAACUGUAAGAUUUGCUCCCGAGCAAAGUAUGACAGACACCCUGGGAAACAGGAACUAGGCACGACGCCAAUUCCGUCGUGCACGGGAAAAAUGCUGCAUGUUGAUAUAUUCUCAACCGAUAGGAAAUACUUCCGCCACUCCACAGUACAUCGAACGGCCAGGUGGAAAGGUUCCACAGUACUUUGGUGGAAAUUGCCAGGUGCCUCAAAAUGUAG